Hymenopellis radicata is the source of this 80-nucleotide non-coding RNA. Lineage: Eukaryota; Fungi; Basidiomycota; Agaricomycetes; Agaricales; Physalacriaceae. The record is from the annotation of a GenBank genome assembly.
UCGGAUAUGGUGUAACGGCUAACAUUAGCGCCUCUCAUUUGUUUACGCGCUAGCUCGGGGUUCGAUUCCCCGUAUCCGAA